Molecule: small nucleolar RNA, 99 nt
Organism: Juglans microcarpa x Juglans regia
Lineage: Eukaryota; Viridiplantae; Streptophyta; Magnoliopsida; Fagales; Juglandaceae
Source: RefSeq, a predicted model, not a curated record
GUUAACCCCUUAAUAUAUAUUCUCCAUAUAAUAAAGCAGAAGUCUAAUACUUGUACUCCUAUCUGUUUGGUUUGCGAGUUUGGCUCUUCUGGUACAGUU